UUUGGAAAAAUGGAGGGAGGAGGAGAGGACGAUGACUACAUGGCAGAUCUGGGCUGCUUCUUGGAUCCAAAGCACCUCCAGGAUGGGAAGAAGAAGGCGCCAAUCCCAGCGGCAAGCAGCCAGACGAAGGAAAGCAAGGGAAAGCUGCACUGGAAAGACAAACGUAAAGAGUCCCGCGAGCGAGCGAAAAAGUCCGAGCAAGCCCAGCUCACGGAGGGAUUAAACACGGCGAUACCAUCCUCCAACAUCGGUUUUAAGCUCCUCCAGCAGAUGGGAUACAAGCCCGGUGGAGCUCUCGGCAAGCACGGACAAGGAGCUCUGGAGCCACUCAAGGUUGAUGUCAAACACUCCCGGACGGGACUCGGGGUUGACGAGAGGGAGCGACGAUUCAAAGCGAGAGCAGCGAAGCAACAAGAGAUCCAGCGGGACUUGAAAAGGAAGAUCGAUGACGUGAGUCGCAGAGAUUUCCAGGAUCGCCAAAGGAGUUCUUGGCAGGCUGGAAAGAUAAGUCGUGACUACAAAAAGGCGGCCUCGGCACUGGCUCAACUCGAGGAGCUUGCUGGAAUUUCGCGAGGAGAAGUCAAGAGAGAAGAUGACAAUGGAGACGACGACAAAGAGGAGGAGGAAGACGAGGUUGUGGUGACAGAAGAGGACUUGAUGAGAAUUGUAGAGGACUUGCGGAGGCGAUUUUUCUAUUGCGUCUACUGUGGAUGCAAGUAUGAUUCCGCAGAGGAAAUGGAGGGCUCGUGUCCGGGGCUUGACGAAGAUGCUCACUAGCGACAUGGUCGCAGCCACUUUUAGUUUUUGCUCUCUGGCAGCACACUUGGUACGAUUGUCAAAAGGCGAGAGACAUGCCAUCGACCGAUGCCCCCACCAGGCCGACGCUGAUGCAAACAACAGUAAAGCUAGCAUUACGCCAAAGCAAAAUAGAAGAAGAAGAAGGAUUGAGAAUCUUCGCAGAGACUCCAAAUUUUGCUGAUGGAGAGUUCCAUCGAUCAAUCACAAACAGAGAAAAGAAUGCAAGCCUUUUUGGAAGGAGGAGCUCGCCAAAGGAACAGAAAAGAUUCGUUGGAUCUACGCCAAGUGUCGGUGCUUGCUAUCCUUGAGUCACACGUCGGCCAUGGCAGCAAAGCUUUGUUUUUUUCUUCGUGAUAGGAGAUUUUACGAUCCCGGGACGCGACUGUAGUGUACGUGGAGUUUUUACUUCCUCGACUUCCAAGUUUUUUACAGUUCCCAGGUUUAUGAUUCUUGGUAAAGGCUGCAGUGGCUCUGUACGCUGUGUUCGUAGACGAGUCAGAGUCGGGAGACAAAGAUCGGUGAUGCUUUGAUCGAUCGAUCGCUCGCGCUGGCCUGGUGACUUUUACCACGUAAGAGAUUUCCAGCAUUCAUUCACUUGUCUUGCUUUGGGCUUGUAGCCACCAAUCGCGAGUUCUUUUUGCU
Molecule: RNA transcript, 1440 nt
Organism: Selaginella moellendorffii
Lineage: Eukaryota; Viridiplantae; Streptophyta; Lycopodiopsida; Selaginellales; Selaginellaceae
Gene name: G patch domain-containing protein 11
Exons: 7
Source: RefSeq, a predicted model, not a curated record